Molecule: ribosomal RNA, 688 nt
Filed under: uncultured bacterium
Lineage: Bacteria
Description: bacterial SSU rRNA
Rfam family: Bacterial small subunit ribosomal RNA
Source: RNAcentral
AACGCUAGCUACAGGCUUAACACAUGCAAGUCGAGGGGCAGCACAGGGUGGCAACAUCUGGGUGGCGACCGGCGCACGGGUGAGUAACACGUAUCCAACCUUCCCCUUACUCGGGCAUAGCCCAUCGAAAGAUGGAUUAACUCCCGAUGGUUUCACGCGGUUGCAUGACAACGUGAAUAAAGUUUACGGUAAGGGAUGGGGAUGCGCUCCAUUAGCUUGUUGGCGGGGUAACGGCCCACCAAGGCUACGAUGGAUAGGGGUUCUGAGAGGAAGGUCCCCCACAUUGGAACUGAGACACGGUCCAAACUCCUACGGGAGGCAGCAGUGAGGAAUAUUGGUCAAUGGCCGUAAGGCUGAACCAGCCAAGUAGCGUGAAGGAUGACCGCCCUACGGGUCGUAAACUUCUUUUAUAAGGGAAUAACACCUCCCACGUGUGGGAGGCUGCAUGUACCUUAUGAAUAAGCAUCGGCUAACUCCGUGCCAGCAGCCGCGGUAAUACGGAGGAUGCGAGCGUUAUCCGGAUUUAUUGGGUUUAAAGGGAGCGCAGACGGGCGAUUAAGUCAGUUGUGAAAUGCCGCGGCUCAACCGUGGACUUGCAGUUGAUACUGGUUGCCUUGAGUGCGGUUGANGCACGCGGAAUUCGUGGUGUANCGGNGAAAUGCUUANAUAUCACGAAGAACUCCGAUUG